RNAcentral lists this ribosomal RNA (476 nucleotides) under uncultured bacterium. RNAcentral describes it as "SSU rRNA". It matches the Rfam family "Bacterial small subunit ribosomal RNA", at positions 26 to 518 of the family's 1533-position model. The record is from RNAcentral.
AGGACGAACGCUGGCGGCGUGCUUAACACAUGCAAGUCGAGCGGUGAUCCUCCUUCGGGAGGUGAUCAGCGGCGAACGGGUGAGUAACACGUGGGCAACCUGCCCCUCACACUGGGAUAACCUCGGGAAACCGGGGCUAAUACCGGAUACGACCUCGAGCGGCAUCUCUUGAGGUGGAAAGCUCCGACGGUGAGGGAUGGGCCCGCGGCCUAUCAGCUUGUUGGUGGGGUAAUGGCCUACCAAGGCGACGACGGGUAGCCGGCCUGAGAGGGCGACCGGCCACACUGGGACUGAGACACGGCCCAGACUCCUACGGGAGGCAGCAGUGGGGAAUAUUGCGCAAUGGGCGAAAGCCUGACGCAGCGACGCCGCGUGAGGGAUGAAGGCCUUCGGGUUGUAAACCUCUUUCAGCAGGGACGAAGCGAAAGUGACGGUACCUGCAGAGAAGCACCGGCUAACUACGUGCCAGCAGCCGC